UGGCGUUCCGUGGUCUGCUCCCUAACCAUUGUGACGUUACCUAUACCGUUGCUUCGGCGGGCGGCCCCAGGGUUUACCCCCCGGGCGCCCCUGGGCCCCACCGCGGGCGCCCGCCGGAGGUCACCAAACUCUUGAUAGUUUAUGGCCUCUCUGAGUCUUCUGUACUGAAUAAGUCAAAACUUUCAACAACGGAUCUCUUGGUUCUGUCAUCGAUGAAGAACGCAGCGAAAUGCGAUAAGUAAUGUGAAUUGCAGAAUUCAGUGAAUCAUCGAAUCGUUGAACGCACAUUGCGCCCGCCAGCAUUCUGGCGGGCAUGCCUGUUCGAGCGUCAUUUCAACCAUCAACCCCCCGGGCUUGUGUUGGGGACCUGCGGCUGCCGCAGGCCCUGAAAAGCAGUGGCGGGCUCGCUGUCGGACCGAGCGUAGUAGCAUACAUCUCGCUCUGGUCGCGCCGCGGGUUCCGGCCGUUAAACCACCUUUUAAC
This 483-nucleotide small RNA is filed under the name Chaetomium globosum. RNAcentral's name for it is "eukaryotic LSU rRNA". The stretch from base 178 to 331 matches the Rfam family "5.8S ribosomal RNA". Lineage: Eukaryota; Fungi; Ascomycota; Sordariomycetes; Sordariales; Chaetomiaceae. The record is from RNAcentral.